CUCAGUAACACGUGGAUAACCUACCCUUAGGACCGGAAUAACCCCGGGAAACUGGGGAUAAUACCGGAUAAGCCAUAGACGCUGGAAUGCCCUAUGGUUCAAAGCUCCGGCGCCUAAGGAUGGAUCUGCGGUCUAUCAGGUUGUAGUGGGUGUAACGUACCUACUAGCCGACGACGGAUACGGGUUGUGAGAGCAAGAGCCCGGAGAUGGAUUCUGAGACACGAAUCCAGGCCCUACGGGGUGCAGCAGGCGCGAACACUUUACAAUGCGGGAAACCGCGAUAAGGGAACCCCGAGUGCCAGCAUCAAAUGUUGGCUGUCCAGAUGAUUAAAAAUCAUUUGUUAGCAAGGGCCGGGCAAGACCGGUGCCAGCCGCCGCGGUAACACCGGCGGCCCGAGUGGUAGCCGUUUUUAUUGGGUCUAAAGGGUCCGUAGCCGGCCUGAUAAGUCCUUUGGGAAAUCUGGCAGCUUAACUGUCAGGCUUCUAAGGGAUACUGUCAGGCUUGGGACCGGAAGAGGUAAGGGGUACUCCAGGGGUAGGAGUGAAAUCUUGUAAUCCCUGGGGGACCAUCUGUGGCGAAGGCGCCUUACCAGAACGGGUCCGACGGUGAGGGACGAAAGCUAGGGGAGCAAACCGGAUUAGAUACCCGGGUAGUCCUAGCUGUAAACGAUGCUCGCUAGGUGUCAGACACGGUGCGACCGUGUUUGGUGCCGCAGGGAAGCCGGAAGCAUCCACCUGGGAAGUACGGUCGCAAGGCUGAAACUAAA
Molecule: ribosomal RNA, 767 nt
Filed under: uncultured archaeon
Lineage: Archaea
Description: bacterial SSU rRNA
Rfam family: Archaeal small subunit ribosomal RNA
Source: RNAcentral